GAAAUGCGAUAAGUAAUGUGAAUUGCAGAAUUCAGUGAAUCAUCGAAUCUUUGAACGCACCUUGCGCUCCUUGGUAUUCCUUGGAGCAUGCCUGUUUGAGUAUCAUGAAAUCUUCAAAGUAAAUCUUUUGUUAACUCAAUUGGUUUCUACUUUGGUAUUGGAGGUCUUUGCAGCUUCACACCUGCUCCUCUUUGUUCAUUAGCUGGAUCUCAGUGUUAUGCUUGGUUUCACUCGGCGUGAUAAGUUAUCUAUCGCUGAGGACACUGUAAAAGGUGGCCAAGGUAAAUGCAGAUGAACCGCUUCUAAUAGUCCAUUGACUUGGACAAUACUUUUAUGAUCUGAUCUCAAAUCAGGUAGGACUACCCGCUGAACUUAAGC
RNAcentral lists this unclassified non-coding RNA (378 nucleotides) under plant metagenome. Its description in RNAcentral is "partial contains 5.8S ribosomal RNA, internal transcribed spacer 2, and large subunit ribosomal RNA". The stretch from base 1 to 105 matches the Rfam family "5.8S ribosomal RNA", at positions 50 to 154 of the family's 154-position model. The record is from RNAcentral.